UCCCAGACUCCUACGGGAGGCAGCAGUGAGGGAUAUUGGUCAAUGGGGGAAACCCUGAACCAGCAACGCCGCGUGAGGGAAGACGGUUUUCGGAUUGUAAACCUCUGUCCUCUGUGAAGAUAAUGACGGUAGCAGAGGAGGAAGCUCCGGCUAACUACGUGCCAGCAGCCGCGGUAAUACGUAGGGAGCAAGCGUUGUCCGGAAUCACUGGGCGUAAAGGGCGCGUAGGCGGUAAUAUAAGUCAGAUGUGAAAGGUGGGGGCUCAACCCCUAGAGUGCAACUGAUACUGUAUAACUUGAGUGUGAGAGAGGGAAGCGGAAUUCCUAGUGUAGCGGUGAAAUGCGUAGAUAUUAGGAGGAACACCAGUGGCGAAGGCGGCUUUCUGGCUCAUAACUGACGCUGAGGCGCGAAAGCGUGGGGAGCAAACAGGAUUAGAUACCCGUGUAGC
Molecule: ribosomal RNA, 448 nt
Filed under: uncultured bacterium
Lineage: Bacteria
Description: bacterial SSU rRNA
Rfam family: Bacterial small subunit ribosomal RNA
Source: RNAcentral